GUGAGUACUAGAAUCCACACAUGCUGUAUAUAUGCCCAAGGAUGGCUCGAUCAACCCAUAUGCACCUAUGGGUAGGUUCUCAACCAAUUAUUUCUCCAAACAACUUUUAGUAAUUAAUUUAGUCCCAGAUUUCAUUUCAGUAGACGAUGGGCCUCCACUGAAAGUUUGGGUUAGGUCAAACCAUUAAUAUAAACAUAUUCAGUGAUUCUACCUAAUGAGUGAUUAGGCCCG
This 231-nucleotide long non-coding RNA is filed under the name Elaeis guineensis (African oil palm). Its description in RNAcentral is "long non-coding RNA (EGUI_LNC049463)". The record is from RNAcentral. Lineage: Eukaryota; Viridiplantae; Streptophyta; Magnoliopsida; Arecales; Arecaceae.